CUCUGGUUCAGCUUACUUUUGAGAAAUGUGGUGUAGACACUGGCCUAGCAGGCGGGGCCAGGGUUCCAGAACCGGUUUCACUGCCUCGAGCAGGUGCUUUCCCUCUCUGGCCUCAGCGGCGUGACCUGUCCUUUCCACGAGGCUUUCCAGCCCCUCAUUCCACAACUCCUUAGCAGCGGCCAGGCUGGUCCCUCAGCCUCACAGCCGUGAAACGUGUGCCCCUGUCUCUCCCCUUUCCAACACAGCCGGCCCUGGCCUCUCAGCCCUGCACGCUGCUCAUCUCCCCCCUCUUGGCAAAGUCCUGCUCGAGCCCCAUCUCUGCCAGGACCUCUUUCUGGUGCCUCAGUCCACAGGACUUCCCUCUUCCCUGUCCUCGGCCCUGCCACGUGCCUCCGCUGCCGUCGACCACCAUGUGUCCUCGUGGACAUGCACCGCCCCCUACACGAUGAGGGGCCACAGCCUCCACUUUUGAUGCGUGUCUCUGUGCAUUCUGUAGUGCCACACCAGCACAAUAGCACCGUGGGGCUGCAACCUCAGGGAGGCUCUUACAAGUCCAAGAAGAGCAUCCAGACAGACGAAGGAGCUCCAAGGUGGAGAGGCCAGAGCAAGGCUGGGCUUGAGUCUUGAGGAAGUGAGAGCUGCGGGUGCCCUGCUGGGUCCUCCACAGUUUGGCCUCGCUUCCGGAGUGCCUCACGGGGCCGUUCUUCCCCAGGUCGCCAGUGUCGCUGACCCUCUGCACCUCUGCCCAGACUUCUUCAUCUCGGUUGCUUCGUGGCUGGCCCCUCACCCCCUGAUCAGGCCAGGCAGUGAGGACCGAGUCUCAGUUCUUCUGUUCCCUCCCUCCCCACACACAAGUCCACCAACAAGGCCCACCAAUUCCGACUACAAAGUAUACAUUAAAUUUGUCCCUUCCUCUCCAUCUCCAUUGUGUGGCUGUCAUCUCUCACCUGAGUCUCUGUAAUGCCCUUCUCCUGGUCCCCCUGCUGCCACGCUUGGCUCUCAUAAUCAAUUCUCAAGGGAGUGGACCCAGUGACUUUCUUUAAAUGUGAGCCAGAUCCAGUCCCUGUGCUGCUCAGAACCCUCAGGGGGUUCCCACAGCCGAGAGUAACCCCCUUCACAGCAGCAAGGCCCUGGUGACCCUCCAAACACGCCUGGGGCCUCUCUGCCUCGUGCCCUAAACCCCAAGCUCACAAACACUGCAGGUGCUCCUGUCUCAGGGCCUUGGCCCCACUAUUCCUACUUCCCAGCCACUCCCUAGGGCUCCCACCUGCUCGCCCUUCAGACCUGGGAGCUGCCACCUCCUCCAGGGGCCUUUCCUGCCCCCAAGCCCUGCCCAGUUCCUCUCCGAGCCCGUCUUGCUCACUAGACCCGAAGUCCCAUGAAGGCAGGGACAGACUUGUCUUCUUAUUCUGUCCCCAGCAUCUACACAUAAAGCCUUUGACUGAACCAAUCGACCAGUGGAACCCAAGCCUGGAGAAGCAGCCUCUGCCCACAAGGCGG
This 1500-nucleotide long non-coding RNA is filed under the name Equus caballus (horse). RNAcentral describes it as "lncRNA (ENSECAG00000047781.1)". Lineage: Eukaryota; Metazoa; Chordata; Mammalia; Perissodactyla; Equidae. The record is from RNAcentral.